This 186-nucleotide ribosomal RNA is filed under the name Halorubellus sp. JP-L1. RNAcentral describes it as "Archaeal small subunit ribosomal RNA". It matches the Rfam family "Archaeal small subunit ribosomal RNA", at positions 1 to 188 of the family's 1478-position model. The record is from Rfam by way of RNAcentral. Lineage: Archaea; Methanobacteriati; Methanobacteriota; Halobacteria; Halobacteriales; Halorubellaceae.
AUUCCGGUUGAUCCUGCCGGAGGCCAUUGCUAUCGGAGUUCGAUUUAGCCAUGCUAGUCGCACGGGUUUAGACCCGUGGCAGAUAGCUCAGUGACACGUGGCCAAACUACCCUAUGGAUCAGAACAACCUCGGGAAACUGAGGCUAAUUCUGAAUAAGGCUCCCUGCCUGGAAUGGCUUGAGCUGG